This 76-nucleotide transfer RNA is filed under the name Verrucomicrobiia bacterium. RNAcentral's name for it is "tRNA-Ala". It matches the Rfam family "tRNA". From Rfam's summary of the family: Transfer RNA (tRNA) molecules are approximately 80 nucleotides in length. Their secondary structure includes four short double-helical elements and three loops (D, anti-codon, and T loops). Further hydrogen bonds mediate the characteristic L-shaped molecular structure. tRNAs have two regions of fundamental functional importance: the anti-codon, which is responsible for specific mRNA codon recognition, and the 3' end, to which the tRNAs corresponding amino acid is attached (by aminoacyl-tRNA synthetases). tRNAs cope with the degeneracy of the genetic code in two manners: having more than one tRNA (with a specific anti-codon) for a particular amino acid; and 'wobble' base-pairing, i.e. permitting non-standard base-pairing at the 3rd anti-codon position. The record is from RNAcentral. Lineage: Bacteria; Pseudomonadati; Verrucomicrobiota; Verrucomicrobiia.
GGGGGCAUAGCUCAGUUGGUAGAGCGUCUCGUUCGCAAUGAGAAGGUCAGGGGUUCGAAUCCCCUUGCCUCCACCA